Molecule: ribosomal RNA, 405 nt
Filed under: Theileria sp.
Lineage: Eukaryota; Apicomplexa; Aconoidasida; Piroplasmida; Theileriidae
Description: SSU rRNA
Rfam family: Eukaryotic small subunit ribosomal RNA
Source: RNAcentral
AUAUUAAAAUUGUUGCAGUUAAAAAGCUCGUAGUUGAAUUUCUGCUGCAUCGCUGUGUCCCUUCGGGGUCUCUGCAUGUGGCUUAUUUCGGACGGAGUUCGCUUUGUCUGGAUGUUUACUUUGAGAAAAUUAGAGUGCUCAAAGCAGGCUUUUGCCUUGAAUAGUUUAGCAUGGAAUAAUAAAGUAGGACUUUGGUUCUAUUUUGUUGGUUUUAGGUACCAAAGUAAUGGUUAAUAGGAACAGUUGGGGGCAUUCGUAUUUAACUGUCAGAGGUGAAAUUCUUAGAUUUGUUAAAGACGAACUACUGCGAAAGCAUUUGCCAAGGAUGUUUUCAUUAAUCAAGAACGAAAGUUAGGGGAUCGAAGACGAUCAGAUACCGUCGUAGUCCUAACCAUAAACAAUGCC